Molecule: long non-coding RNA, 1161 nt
Filed under: Canis lupus familiaris (dog)
Lineage: Eukaryota; Metazoa; Chordata; Mammalia; Carnivora; Canidae
Description: lncRNA (ENSCAFG00000058368.1)
Source: RNAcentral
UGAUAUUUUUAAAAUUAGUAUCAUACACAAUACUGGGCUAGACUCUGGCUGGCUACAUAUAAAAAUUCAGACUUCAAAAAAGGGCGAAUUAAAGAGUAAUUAUUCACUUUAAAGAAAGAUGCUUUUCUCUACAAAUGUUUUAGUCUCAGACUCCCUUUGAAUGGCAAAUUUUCCUUGUGAUUUUAAAAAAUGCGAUUUUAUUUCCAAAAAUUCAGUUUAGGCAUAACUUUUCAGGGGUACAUUUUAGAUGAAUUAUGCUUGUUGUAAGUGUUAAACGCAGUCUUUGCCCACAAAAUAAGUAAGGCAAGCUGAAGUUGAAAAUAAUUCCUGUGGAAGAGAUAACAAACUCCUGGCAAUAAAAUUCAGCUCUGUUCUAGAUGAAAAUAAACGUGGAGAGUGAGAUACCUUACUAUUUCAAAAAGUUCCAAGGCCUGAGCUUCUGGGUUAUCCAAGGUGAAAGAAGUCAUGAAAAAAUGAAGAGAGAUAAAGACUGAAUGUGAUAGAUUGUGCACCUGAGGCUGUUUCUUCAAAAUCAUGGAACCUUAAGACCAACUUUCCAUGCAAUUUUCUUAAUACCAAUUCACAGCAUGUACUUUAAUUUCUCCACAGAAGCCAAAUGCAUUAUUCUCUGGUCAUACUCUAUUAACCAAGUUUUUGAUUAUUCAUGGGACUUUGGUCCCAUUUUACUUUAAAUAAUCAGCACUUUCCUUUAUACUUACAGUUAAAAGGUUGCAUUAUACCUAAUGAUAAUCAGUUUUUAGAAGGUUAAAAUGGUAUUUAUUCUUUAAUCUUCCAGAUAAAUAUAUAACUCCUUGGAGUCUUUCUGACUACAGAGAUUUCUGAGUUGAUUGUGACUUUUGGAGGAGCAGGGAGAGAAAGUAUCUGUGACUCCGUCAUUCUUCUGCCACUGAUAUAGGUUUUUUCCCUAAAAUUGGAAAAUAUUGGGCAGCCCGGGUGGAUCAGCGGUUUAGCACCUGCCUUCAGCCCAGGGCGUUAUCUUGGAGACCCGGAAUCGAGUCCCACAUCGGGCUCCCUGCAUGGAGACUGCUUCUCCCUCUGCCUGUGUCUCUGCCUCUUUCUCUCUCUCUCUCUCUCUCUCUCUCUCUCUCUCUGUGUGUGUCUCUCAUGAAUAAAUAAAUAAAAUAUUUAUUUUUUAAAAAA